UACGGGAGGCAGCAGUCGGGAAUAUUGCGCAAUGGAGGAAACUCUGACGCAGUGACGCCGCGUAUAGGAAGAAGGUUUUCGGAUUGUAAACUAUUGUCGUUAGGGAAGAAAAAAGACAGUACCUAAGGAGGAAGCUCCGGCUAACUAUGUGCCAGCAGCCGCGGNUAAU
Molecule: ribosomal RNA, 169 nt
Filed under: uncultured rumen bacterium
Lineage: Bacteria
Description: partial 16S ribosomal RNA
Rfam family: Bacterial small subunit ribosomal RNA
Source: RNAcentral